CGGCACGUCUGGUAGCAUCUCUGGCUGCUGUUGAUCUUGUUUUUGGAGUAAAACACGGUGGAAGCUGAAUUAGUGAGGAUGACUCCUGCUCCUGUCAUCUCUAAGCUCCUCACACAUCUUUACCUGCACAUGAGGAAAUCACUCCUGUAGAAUGCAGAUGUUCAGAGGGAGAUGAUGCCACAUCUGGUCCAGCUGAUGGAAGGUCUUGAAGUUCUCUGACUGGCCUCUACUGAAGAUGGUCGUCUCACUGGAUUUAAGAUGCACAAUGAGGGACGUCUGCAGAGACUGAGAAAGAGUCUCACCACAUCCUUACAUGAGGAAAAAGACUUUAUUGAAGACUACAAUGAGAAAAACUAUCAGACAGCAGACGGCAUGCAUUCAAGGCUACAGGAGGAGCCCUACGAGGACGAGCCUGUCCA
Long non-coding RNA from Amphiprion ocellaris (clown anemonefish), 419 nucleotides. The record is from Ensembl. Lineage: Eukaryota; Metazoa; Chordata; Actinopteri; Pomacentridae.